AUGUUUAUCCUCUUCACAUGACCACCAUACUUCUUUCGUUUUACCACCAAACCGUCCAAUUUCGCAGAAAAUGUCAGGAACACCAUCAAUUGGAUAUGAUGGUUGUAUAUUGCAAAAGUAAUCAAAUUAAUAACAUUUCAUAACAUAUGUAUAUAUAUUUUAAAUUUAUAAUUACCUGCAAGUGUUUCAUGGACAUUUCUGGAAGGAGCUCGGCAAAAGCAAAUGGAAGCAAUCGUUGCAUAAACACAUG
This 250-nucleotide long non-coding RNA is filed under the name Brassica rapa (field mustard). RNAcentral describes it as "long non-coding RNA (BRAP_LNC000449)". The record is from RNAcentral. Lineage: Eukaryota; Viridiplantae; Streptophyta; Magnoliopsida; Brassicales; Brassicaceae.